UACGUAGGGUGCGAGCGUUGUCCGGAAUUACUGGGCGUAAAGAGCUCGUAGGUGGUUUGUCGCGUUGUUUCGUGAAAACUCACAGCUCAACUGUGGGCGUGCGGGCGAUACGGGCAGACUGGAGUACUGCAGGGGAGACUGGAAUUCCUGGUGUAGCGGUGGAAUGCGCAGAUAUCAGGAGGAACACCGGUGGCGAAAGCGGGUCUCUGGGCAACAACUGACGCUGAGGAGCGAAAGCGUGGGGAGCGAACAGGA
RNAcentral lists this ribosomal RNA (255 nucleotides) under uncultured bacterium. RNAcentral describes it as "partial 16S ribosomal RNA". It matches the Rfam family "Bacterial small subunit ribosomal RNA", at positions 524 to 777 of the family's 1533-position model. The record is from RNAcentral.